GAUGAACGCUAGCUACAGGCUUAACACAUGCAAGUCGAGGGGCAGCGCAGUGUAGCAAUACAUGGGCGGCGACCGGCGCACGGGUGCGUAACGCGUAUGCAACCUACCCAUAACAGGGGGAUAACACUGAGAAAUUGGUACUAAUACCCCGUAAUAUUACUGAAGGCAUCUUUAGUAGUUGAAAGUUCCGGCGGUUAUGGAUGGGCAUGCGUUGUAUUAGCUAGUUGGUGAGGUAACGGCUCACCAAGGCUGCGAUCAGUAGCCGGACUGAGAGGUUGAACGGCCACAUUGGGACUGAGAUACGGCCCAGACUCCUACGGGAGGCGGCAGUGGGGAAUAUUGGGCAAUGGGCGAAAGCCUGACCCAGCAACGCCGCGUGAAGGAAGAAGGUCUUCGGAUUGUAAACUUCUUUUAUGAGGGACGAAGGACGUGACGGUACCUCAUGAAUAAGCCACGGCUAACUACGUG
This 468-nucleotide ribosomal RNA is filed under the name uncultured bacterium. Its description in RNAcentral is "bacterial SSU rRNA". It matches the Rfam family "Bacterial small subunit ribosomal RNA", at positions 28 to 507 of the family's 1533-position model. The record is from RNAcentral.